GGGGAUGUAGCUCAUUUGGCAGAGCGCGUCAUUAGCAUGUUAUUUCAACUUGAAUUGACGAGGUACCGGGUUCAAUUCCCUGCUUCUCCA
Kwoniella newhampshirensis is the source of this 90-nucleotide non-coding RNA. NCBI's taxonomy places the organism in Eukaryota, Fungi, Basidiomycota, Tremellomycetes, Tremellales, Cryptococcaceae. The record is from the annotation of a GenBank genome assembly.